UGCUAUAACUGUGGUGAAACUGGUCACUAUAUUAAGGAUUGUCCUCACCCUAAGAAAAAACAAGAUGUAGAGCAUGCUAAUGUAAUUGGUAAUGAAACCAAUAGUGAUGUGUUCUAAGGUGGAGCUCUUUCUUAAUGCCUUAGUGUUGUUCUUUGUGAUUGUUUAGGCUUUGUGGCUUUUGUGAGACUUCGUUGGUUAGUGCCUUAAUGUCUAUGUGAGUCUUUGUGGCUUAGUGUCUUUGUGAUUGAUUGUAGCUUUGUGUACUAUGUGGCUUUGUGAGUUUUACUUUGUGAUGACCGUUUGUGUCGCAUGUUAUCUUCGUGAUCAUGUGUACUUUGUGAUCUGUGCUAGCUCUUUG
RNAcentral lists this long non-coding RNA (358 nucleotides) under Salvia miltiorrhiza (redroot sage). RNAcentral describes it as "long non-coding RNA (SMIL_LNC013206)". Lineage: Eukaryota; Viridiplantae; Streptophyta; Magnoliopsida; Lamiales; Lamiaceae. The record is from RNAcentral.